AUUGAAUGCUAAGAGAAUGGAAUUUCAGAAAAAAACUUUUUUCAAGUUAAAAAUUGAAAUUUUUUUAAUUUGUGCAGAAACAAUUAUUAAUAUUAAGGACAAGAAGACCCUAUGAAUUUAUAAAUUUUAUUUAAUAUGUAACUACUAUUAAAAAAAUUUUGGCUGGGGCGGCGGAAAAAUAUUUAAAACUUUUUUAAAAUAAAAUGACCCAUUAUUAAUGAUUAUAUGUUAAAUACUCUAGGGAUAACAGCGUUAUAUUUUUUGAUAGAUCAUAUUGACAAAAAAGUUUGCGACCUCGAUGUUGGAUUAGGAUACUUUUUUAAUGCAGAUAUUAAAAAAAGAAGUUUGUUCAACUUUUA
This 359-nucleotide ribosomal RNA is filed under the name Rhipicephalus sanguineus (brown dog tick). RNAcentral's name for it is "partial large subunit ribosomal RNA". The record is from RNAcentral. Lineage: Eukaryota; Metazoa; Arthropoda; Arachnida; Ixodida; Ixodidae.